This 305-nucleotide ribosomal RNA is filed under the name uncultured bacterium. RNAcentral describes it as "bacterial SSU rRNA". It matches the Rfam family "Bacterial small subunit ribosomal RNA", at positions 334 to 656 of the family's 1533-position model. The record is from RNAcentral.
AUCUCCUACGGGGGGCAGCAGUGGGGAAUAUUGGGCAAUGGGCGCAAGCCUGACCCAGCAACGCCGCGUGAAGGAAGAAGUAUCUCGGUACGUAAAGCUCUACCAGCAGGGAAGAAAAUGACGGUACCUGACUAAGAAGCCCCGGCUAACUACGUGCCAGCAGCCGCGGUAAUACGUAGGGGGCAAGCGUUAUCCGGAUUUACUGGGUGUAAAGGGAGCGUAGACGGCAGCGCAAGUCUGGAGUGAAAUGCCGGGGCCCAACCCCGGAACUGCUUUGGAAACUGUGCAGCUCGAGUGCAGGAGAG